CCUAACACAUGCAAGUCGAACGAACCCUUCGGGGUUAGUGGCGCACGGGUGCGUAACGCGUGGGAAUCUGCCCUUUGCUUCGGAAUAACAGUUAGAAAUGACUGCUAAUACCGGAUGAUGACUUCGGUCCAAAGAUUUAUCGGCAAAGGAUGAGCCCGCGUAGGAUUAGGUAGUUGGUGGGGUAAAGGCCUACCAAGCCGACGAUCCUUAGCUGGUCUGAGAGGAUGAUCAGCCACACUGGGACUGAGACACGGCCCAGACUCCUACGGGAGGCAGCAGUGGGGAAUAUUGGACAAUGGGGGCAACCCUGAUCCAGCAAUGCCGCGUGAGUGAUGAAGGCCUUCGGGUCGUAAAGCUCUUUUACCAGGGAUGAUAAUGACAGUACCUGGAGAAUAAGCUCCGGCUAACUCCGUGCCAGCAGCCGCGGUAAUACGGAGGGAGCUAGCGUUGUUCGGAAUUACUGGGCGUAAAGCGCACGUAGGUGGUUACUCAAGUCAGAGGUGAAAGCCCGGGGCUCAACCCCGGAACUGCCUUUGAAACUAGGUGACUGGAAUCUUGGAGAGGCGAGUGGAAUUCCGAGUGUAGA
Molecule: ribosomal RNA, 586 nt
Filed under: uncultured bacterium
Lineage: Bacteria
Description: bacterial SSU rRNA
Rfam family: Bacterial small subunit ribosomal RNA
Source: RNAcentral